AUUUAUAUAAUAUAAAAAUUAUAUUUAAUUUCCAAUUAAAAAAUCUAUAAAAUAGUAUAAAUA
This 63-nucleotide transfer RNA is filed under the name Stenus clavicornis. RNAcentral's name for it is "tRNA-Gly". Lineage: Eukaryota; Metazoa; Arthropoda; Insecta; Coleoptera; Staphylinidae. The record is from RNAcentral.